GGGAGUGGAUGAGUCCCGGUGGGCUCCGCGGUCUUCAAAACCGUUGUCGGGUCGCGUUGCGAGCCGUGGUGGGUUCGACUCCCAUGCACUCCCG
RNAcentral lists this transfer RNA (94 nucleotides) under Chloroflexota bacterium. RNAcentral describes it as "Chloroflexi bacterium tRNA-Sec". It matches the Rfam family "Selenocysteine transfer RNA". Lineage: Bacteria; Bacillati; Chloroflexota. The record is from RNAcentral. RNAcentral also lists the same sequence under 1 other name.